CUGCACAGCUUCACAGAAGAUUAUCUGGAUCUGGAGAAGAGGUGGGUGUCUCUGGGAAAGAAGCAGAGAGGUGAGUGGCACAGAGGCUGUGGUGAGUGAAUCUGAGGGUUUGUAUCAUCUCUUAGGCCUGAACACCAAUGCCUUCACCUCAACACGUGAAGGGCGUGCUCACCGAGCAGCGGAGGAGAAAGGGCAAAGGGGAGGGUGAAGUCCAAGUUAUUGCACAAAAGGCUGUGACCACUCCCAGGCUGAUCAUCCCUGGGGCUGGGAGGAAAGUUAUUUGCAGAGGAGAACAAGAUCAGGACUCUUCCUAACAAAGGCUGAGCCCACAGACAGAAGGGAUUAGCCUUAUCUCAGAUGAGAUUUUGGACUUGGACUUUUGAAUUAAUCCUUCAAUGACCAUAGUUUAAGAAGAGAUAUCUUGAAAACACGGAAAGAGAAAAGUCAAUACAAUAUUUCCUAAUUUUUUAAGAGGUCAGAGAAGGGAGUUACUGUGUGGCCUGGAGCAGGUGAUUCUGACUACCAAGGGAAAAUUGGAGUACUACUCCACAAUGGAGGGUCUGCAGGAUGGACCCGGCAGCUGGUGCCCUGUGUGAGGAACGCUGCAACGGACUGCGACAGAACCCUCGAAAACGAAGGUGAAGAGACUGUGCAGUCAUGUGACAGACACAUCAAACCAUACCAUGGCGUGGCUAAGACCCAAGCUGGUAUCAAAAAUAAAGGAAACGACGCUGCAGGACCCGCAGCCCCAGACGAUGUGGCUUCCUCCGAUGACACAGGCCCCAGACAUUACCUGGGGGAAGCUGAAGAAGACAACUCAGGAGGCCGAGUGAAUCCUUCUCUGGACACAGACACCAUCACUCCAGAUAAUCUGUUCCUUGCUAUGCUCUCUAUUGUACCUUGCAACUCUCAUAGGGUAUUCACCUUUCUUAUUCUCUCACUUUGCCUGCAACUCAUACCUGCUACAUUCUAUUGGGCCCAUCUUCUAAGAUCUGCCUUUCUUCCAACCUGUUACCUUGGCAGACACCCCCUUCCCAUCCUCUAAUAAUGUAACUGCUUAGCUGGGAGGGGUUGACAUGCCCCCAGUGGGGUUCCUUAAUAAUGGCACACAUUGAACUGAGGUGCCAAGUAACACUACAUAUCUCUCCUUGAUUGGAAAAGAAUAAUAGUGACUAUACUAAUGUUUGACUUAUGUUAUUUACUAAUUCUAGGAUGCAAAGCCGGAACACGAGCUGUAACCGCUGCGCCUGUCAAAUCUGUCACUGCACACAUCUGUACUAUUCAAUCAACAAAACCCGAUGCUAAAAACAGAAAAGGGGGAGACGCGGGAGAUCGGUCAGAGUGGUAGGAGAAGGUAUAGGGAAAGGAACAGACCUUCUGAAAGGCGGGAAGGCUCUGGAUAGCUUCAGGGAUGAAUAAGCUGAAGGCAGCUGUUCUCUUACCCUGAGGCAGAGGGCAAGGGGUAGGUAAGGAAGUAUAGGGGAAUUUGGCAUAAACAGGCUUGUUUACUUACAUUGUCCGGAAACCGACUUUGAUCAUCAGGGCAGGAGACUGCUCCCUGAAAGGGGGAAUAAUAAUGUUAAUUACCCACAGAUUGUGUUGGCUCCAGGCUUUCAUUAUUUUGUCUGUACUGAAUAAAAGCAAGCAGCUCCAGCUGUUCGAGACUGCUCACUCUUCAGCCAUUAGUGCUGGGCAUUCCUGUAGCUGCUCUUACACUGCAUGCCUGUGGCUGAGUACUCCUUUCAUCCGUUGCUUGGCCAGGGUCUGUGGGAUGGACCCCGCAGGUAAGGGUUAUCAAAAAAAAAAAAAAUUCACAGGCAGAUAGGAACACCAUGACCAUACUAAAAGGCUUUUUUCCCAUUUUAGUCUUGCAAGUUUGUAAAGAAGGAUAUGAAGCCCCUAAGAAAUCAGUGAAACACUUU
This 1922-nucleotide long non-coding RNA is filed under the name Homo sapiens (human). RNAcentral's name for it is "HSALNT0287106". Lineage: Eukaryota; Metazoa; Chordata; Mammalia; Primates; Hominidae. The record is from RNAcentral.